RNAcentral lists this ribosomal RNA (425 nucleotides) under uncultured bacterium. RNAcentral describes it as "bacterial SSU rRNA". It matches the Rfam family "Bacterial small subunit ribosomal RNA", at positions 354 to 796 of the family's 1533-position model. The record is from RNAcentral.
GUGGGGAAUAUUGCACAAUGGGGGAAACCCUGAUGCAGCGACGCCGCGUGGAGGAAGAAGGUCUUCGGAUUGUAAACUCCUGUUGUUGAGGAAGAUAAUGACGGUACUCAACAAGGAAGUGACGGCUAACUACGUGCCAGCAGCCGCGGUAAAACGUAGGUCACAAGCGUUGUCCGGAAUUACUGGGUGUAAAGGGAGCGCAGGCGGGAAGACAAGUUGGAAGUGAAAUCCAUGGGCUCAACCCAUGAACUGCUUUCAAAACUGUUUUUCUUGAGUAGUGCAGAGGUAGGCGGAAUUCCCGGUGUAGCGGUGGAAUGCGUAGAUAUCGGGAGGAACACCAGUGGCGAAGGCGGCCUACUGGGCACCAACUGACGCUGAGGCUCGAAAGUGUGGGUAGCAAACAGGAUUAGAUACCCGAGUAGUCC